GUGACGUUACCAAUCUGUUGCCUCGGCGGGAUUCUCUUGCCCCGGGCGCGUCGCAGCCCCGGAUCCCAUGGCGCCCGCCGGAGGACCAACUCCAAACUCUUUUUUUCUCUCCGUCGCGGCUCCCGUCGCGGCUCUGUUUUAUUUUUGCUCUGAGCCUUUCUCGGCGACCCUAGCGGGCGUCUCGAAAAUGAAUCAAAACUUUCAACAACGGAUCUCUUGGUUCUGGCAUCGAUGAAGAACGCAGCGAAAUGCGAUAAGUAAUGUGAAUUGCAGAAUUCAGUGAAUCAUCGAAUCUUUGAACGCACAUUGCGCCCGCCAGUAUUCUGGCGGGCAUGCCUGUCCGAGCGUCAUUUCAACCCUCGAACCCCUCCGGGGGGUCGGCGUUGGGGAUCGGCCCCUCACCGGGCCGCCCCCGAAAUACAGUGGCGGUCUCGCCGCAGCCUCUCCUGCGCAGUAGUUUGCACACUCGCACCGGGAGCGCGGCGCGGCCACAGCCGUAAAACACCCCAAACUUCUGGAAUGUUGACCUCGGAUCAGGUAGGAAUACCCGCUGAACUUAAGCAUAUCAAUAA
RNAcentral lists this ribosomal RNA (572 nucleotides) under Trichoderma longibrachiatum. Its description in RNAcentral is "eukaryotic LSU rRNA". The stretch from base 197 to 350 matches the Rfam family "5.8S ribosomal RNA". Lineage: Eukaryota; Fungi; Ascomycota; Sordariomycetes; Hypocreales; Hypocreaceae. The record is from RNAcentral.